GACGAACGCUGGCGGCGUGCUUAACACAUGCAAGUCGAGCGGUAAGGCCCUUUCGGGGGUACACGAGCGGCGAACGGGUGAGUAACACGUGGGUGACCUGCCCUCAGCUCUGGGAUAAGCCUGGGAAACCGGGUCUAAUACCGGAUAUGACUCCAUGACGCAUGUUGUGGGGUGGAAAGCCUUGUGCGGCUGAGGAUGGGCCCGCGGCCUAUCAGCUUGUUGGUGGGGUGAUGGCCUACCAAGGCGACGACGGGUAGCCGGCCUGAGAGGGCGACCGGCCACACUGGGACUGAGACACGGCCCAGACUCCUACGGGAGGCAGCAGUGGGGAAUCUUGCGCAAUGGCGAAAGCCUGACGCAGCGACGCCGCGUGA
Molecule: ribosomal RNA, 374 nt
Filed under: uncultured bacterium
Lineage: Bacteria
Description: bacterial SSU rRNA
Rfam family: Bacterial small subunit ribosomal RNA
Source: RNAcentral